AUUGCAUAUUAUUAGAACCGGUUAUCCAUCUAAACGAUGUAAUUGGUGUCAAAAUAUGCAACAUGAAAAGCAACAUUUUACUUGUCUUUAUUUUGUGUAGAUAAUAAACCAACAAUCUAAAGAUUUCUUUUGUUGCAACAAAA
RNAcentral lists this small nucleolar RNA (143 nucleotides) under Drosophila persimilis. Its description in RNAcentral is "snoRNA:GL28030". The record is from RNAcentral. Lineage: Eukaryota; Metazoa; Arthropoda; Insecta; Diptera; Drosophilidae.